AUUGAACGCUGGCGGCGUGCCUAACACAUGCAAGUCGAGCGGCAGCGCGGGAGCAAUCCUGGCGGCGAGCGGCGGACGGGUGAGUAAUGCUUGGGAAUCUGCCUGUUAGUGGGGGACAACCCGGGAACUCGGGCUAAUACCGCAUACGCACUACGGUGGAAAGCCGGGGACCGCAAGGCCUGGCGCUAACAGAUGAGCCCCAAGUCGGAUUAGCUAGUUGGUAGGUAACGGCCACCAAGGCGACGAUCCGUAACUGGUCUGAGAGGACGACCAGUCACACCGGAACUGAGACACGGUCCGGACUCCUAC
This 309-nucleotide ribosomal RNA is filed under the name uncultured bacterium. Its description in RNAcentral is "bacterial SSU rRNA". It matches the Rfam family "Bacterial small subunit ribosomal RNA", at positions 29 to 342 of the family's 1533-position model. The record is from RNAcentral.